UACGAAGGGGGGCUAGCGUUGCUCGGAAUCACUGGGCGUAAAGCGCACGUAGGCGGCUUUCUAAGUCAGGGGUGAAAUCCUGGAGCUCAACUCCAGAACUGCCUUCGAUACUGGCGACCUUGAGUCCGGGAGAGGUGAGUGGAACUCCGAGUGUAGAGGUGAAAUUCGUAGAUAUUCGGAAGAACACCAGUGGCGAAGGCGGCUCACUGGCCCGGUACUGACGCUGAGGUGCGAAAAGCGUGGGGAGCAAACAGGG
This 256-nucleotide ribosomal RNA is filed under the name uncultured bacterium. Its description in RNAcentral is "partial 16S ribosomal RNA". It matches the Rfam family "Bacterial small subunit ribosomal RNA", at positions 524 to 777 of the family's 1533-position model. The record is from RNAcentral.